AGAAUGACCAACAAGCUCAACACAAUUUUGUGUGAAAAACAUAAGGUUUGAUUGAACUGCACAUUAAAAUAAUCGGGCUGUCCGGUUUUCAGUCAGGUUUUUAGCAUCGGGAGUGUUACCCCUUGUGUAUUUUAUGUAAUAGUGUUGGGGUAGAAUUUUCUGAAAUCUUUAUAUCUUCAACAAUUUUAUUCAAAUUUGAAGUAUAUGUUAAUCAUAAACAUAUAAAUACAAUAUAUGAUUGGAACAGUCUAGAUUUUUAUUUCUGAUAAUUAUUGUGCAAACCGU
Haliotis rubra (blacklip abalone) is the source of this 285-nucleotide long non-coding RNA. RefSeq lists it as uncharacterized. Lineage: Eukaryota; Metazoa; Mollusca; Gastropoda; Lepetellida; Haliotidae. The transcript has 3 exons. The record is from RefSeq and is a predicted model, not a curated record.